This is a non-coding RNA of Alicyclobacillus hesperidum, 117 nucleotides long. The record is from Rfam. Lineage: Bacteria; Bacillati; Bacillota; Bacilli; Caryophanales; Alicyclobacillaceae.
UCUGGUGACCAUAGCGGAGGGGAAACACCCGUACCCAUCCCGAACACGGACGUGAAGACCUCCAGCGCCGAGAAUACUUGUCUCGAGAGGGACUGGGAAGGUAGGUCGUUGCCAGGC